RNAcentral lists this long non-coding RNA (235 nucleotides) under Elaeis guineensis (African oil palm). RNAcentral describes it as "long non-coding RNA (EGUI_LNC065799)". The record is from RNAcentral. Lineage: Eukaryota; Viridiplantae; Streptophyta; Magnoliopsida; Arecales; Arecaceae.
AUUAUCAAGAUGAUUUGGGAAUUAGGAUUUUAGUGUAUUAGGUGUUUUGAAUAAAAAAAUUUAAACAUCUAAGUAUUCCGCUAUACCACCAAAAUCCAACACAUAAAAGCACGUUAGAGAAUAAUAAAGAAGUAUAUUGAAAGACCAAAAAUUCUUGUUAAGUAUUUAGUGAGACUUUAAGAAAAAAAGCUACAUUCUAACCACUUGCUUCUUGUGCAUUCAAGUGUCUUUCGAG